CAGCCGCCGCGGUAAUACGAAGGGUGCUAGCGUUGUUCGGAAUUACUGGGCGUAAAGGGCGCGUAGGCGGCCAUUCAAGUUAGAUGUGAAAGCCCUGGGCUCAACCUAGGAAUUGCAUUUGAUACUGUUUGGCUUGAGUUCGGGAGAGGUGAGUGGAAUUCCCAGUGUAGAGGUGAAAUUCCUAGAUAUUGGGAAGAACACCAGUGGCGGAGGCGGCUCACUGGCUCAUUCUAGACGCUGAGGUGCGAAAGCGUGGGGAGCAAACAGGAUUAGAUACCCCCGUAGUCCCUGUCUCUUAUAC
Molecule: ribosomal RNA, 301 nt
Filed under: uncultured bacterium
Lineage: Bacteria
Description: partial 16S ribosomal RNA
Rfam family: Bacterial small subunit ribosomal RNA
Source: RNAcentral